UGGGGAAUAUUGGACAAUGGGCGCAAGCCUGAUCCAGCCAUGCCGCGUGAGUGAUGAAGGCCCUAGGGUUGUAAAGCUCUUUCACCGGUGGAGAUAAUGACGGUAACCGGAGAAGAAGCCCCGGCUAACUUCGUGCCAGCAGCCGCGGUAAUACGAAGGGGGCUAGCGUUGUUCGGAUUUACUGGGCGUAAAGCGCACGUAGGCGGACUUUUAAGUCAGGGGUGAAAUCCCGGGGCUCAACCCCGGAACUGCCUUUGAUACUGGAAGUCUUGAGUAUGGUAGAGGUGAGUGGAAUUCCGAGUGUAGAGGUGAAAUUCGUAGAUAUUCGGAGGAACACCAGUGGCGAUGGCGGCUCACUGGACCAUUACUGACGCUGAGGUGCGAAAGCGUGGGGAGCAAACAGG
This 404-nucleotide ribosomal RNA is filed under the name Actinomycetes bacterium. RNAcentral describes it as "Actinobacteria bacterium partial 16S ribosomal RNA". It matches the Rfam family "Bacterial small subunit ribosomal RNA", at positions 355 to 776 of the family's 1533-position model. The record is from RNAcentral. Lineage: Bacteria; Bacillati; Actinomycetota; Actinomycetes.